AUGUGUAUCCACUGCAACUUUGCAUGCACCAUCUGGAUCAAGAUACAGAAUCUUUUCAUCUUUCUGGCGAGUUACUCCUCUCCCUUCAGAUUAGCUUUGCCUGAACAUCAUACACAUGGGUCACACGAGCACACCUUGCAUUGAAAAAGAACCAGCCGGUUUUGGAGGGAGCCUGAGGAAGGUGGACAGAUGUGGAAGUUCAAGUGGUCUUUUUUGACAGAGCAUCCCGGGGUCCUCUUAAAGACAAGUCAGAGGCAAAAACCUGGGGAUGUGGAGAUUGUGGAGGGUUUCACCCACACUGCACCCUUGGUCCUCACAGCCACCCUCAUGUGAGUUACCAUCCUCCUCCUCAGGAUGAAGACGCUCGCUGAGGGUCAGGCAGGCCACAGACCCAUGAGCAGCUUUUAAAUUGGAGCUUCAAAACCUGCUUCUCUGAGUGCGGGUCCUCUCUACUAAACCACAAAAGAAAUCCCCUAAACCCAAACACCCUGGGAUUCAUUAAUCAAGAAUUA
Balaenoptera musculus (blue whale) is the source of this 512-nucleotide long non-coding RNA. RefSeq lists it as uncharacterized. NCBI's taxonomy places the organism in Eukaryota, Metazoa, Chordata, Mammalia, Artiodactyla, Balaenopteridae. The record is from RefSeq and is a predicted model, not a curated record. The transcript has 3 exons.